GCUUUCUUAGCUCACGUUGGUAGAGCACCCGGCCGAUAACCGGGAGGUAACUGGAUCGUCACCAGUAGAAAGCACCA
Molecule: transfer RNA, 77 nt
Filed under: Serratia phage vB_SmaM-Kamaji
Lineage: Duplodnaviria; Heunggongvirae; Uroviricota; Caudoviricetes; Demerecviridae
Description: tRNA-Ile
Rfam family: tRNA
About the family: Transfer RNA (tRNA) molecules are approximately 80 nucleotides in length.
Source: RNAcentral